GACGAACGCUGGCGGCGUGCUUAACACAUGCAAGUCGAACGAUGAAGCAGAGAAACGCGCACUUCGGUUCAAAUUUCACUUCGGAUUAGUGGCAGACGGGUGAGUAACGCGUGAGCAACCUACCCCUUACAAAGGGAUAGCCUCGGGAAACCGUGAUUAAUACCAUAUGACACAUUCAUAAGGCAUCUUAAGAAUGUUAAAGCUACGGCGGUAAGAGAUGGGCUCGCGUCCCAUUAGCUAGUUGGUGAGGUAACGGCCCACCAAGGCGACGAUGGGUAACCUGCCUGAGAGGGUGAACGGUCACAUUGGAACUGAGACACGGUCCAAACUCCUACGGGAGGCAGCAGUGGGGAAUAUUGCACAAUGGAGGGAACUCUGAUGCAGCGACGCCGCGUGAGCGAUGAAGGAAUUCGUUUCGUAAAGCUCUGUUCUAUGGGAAGAAAAGGACUGUACCAUAGGAGAAAGCCCCGGCUAAAUACGUG
Molecule: ribosomal RNA, 482 nt
Filed under: uncultured bacterium
Lineage: Bacteria
Description: partial 16S ribosomal RNA
Rfam family: Bacterial small subunit ribosomal RNA
Source: RNAcentral